RNAcentral lists this ribosomal RNA (497 nucleotides) under uncultured bacterium. Its description in RNAcentral is "partial 16S ribosomal RNA". It matches the Rfam family "Bacterial small subunit ribosomal RNA", at positions 28 to 507 of the family's 1533-position model. The record is from RNAcentral.
GAUGAACGCUGGCGGCGUGCCUAAUACAUGCAAGUCGAGCGAACGGACGAGAAGCUUGCUUCUCUGAUGUUAGCGGCGGACGGGUGAGUAACACGUGGAUAACCUACCUAUAAGACUGGGAUAACUUCGGGAAACCGGAGCUAAUACCGGAUAAUAUUUUGAACCGCAUGGUUCAAAAGUGAAAGACGGUCUUGCUGUCACUUAUAGAUGGAUCCGCGCUGCAUUAGCUAGUUGGUAAGGUAGCGGCUUACCAAGGCAACGAUGCAUAGCCGACCUGAGAGGGUGAUCGGCCACACUGGAACUGAGACACGGUCCAGACUCCUACGGGAGGCAGCAGUAGGGAAUCUUCCGCAAUGGGCGAAAGCCUGACGGAGCAACGCCACGUGAGUGAUGAAGGUCUUCGGAUCGUAAAACUCUGUUAUUAGGGAAGAACAUAUGUGUAAGUAACUGUGCACAUCUUGACGGUACCUAAUCAGAAAGCCACGGCUAACUACGUG